Long non-coding RNA from Bos taurus (domestic cattle), 3028 nucleotides. The record is from Ensembl. Lineage: Eukaryota; Metazoa; Chordata; Mammalia; Artiodactyla; Bovidae.
GGAAAACUAAAUGGCCUUUUCUGAAGUGAACAACAUCUUAAUUGCUUUGAGAUCCAAAUCAUAGUUGACGAAGCUCCAUGGACAUUGAGGAUCACACUGGCCUCAGGGCUGGGGAGGAUGGAGUUACGGAUGGCUGUGAGGAGCCUCCCCAUGGCCACUCUGGGUGCCCAGACUGCUCCGCUGGUGUUGGCAUCUCACUGACGGGACGGAAAGGUGUGGUUUCCACCAGGCUGGAGCCAGAUGGCACCCACAGAAGCAGAUAGAAAACAGAGAGGGCCAGAAGUGAUCUUAAGACCAUGUCGAUAACUCACAGUCGUGAGGUUGCCAGGGAUGGGGGUAUUGCCAGGGAAGUAUUGGGAGUUUGGGGUUAGCAGAUGUGAACUGGUAAAAUAGGAUGGAUUAACAACCAAGUCCUCCUGUAGAGCACAGGGAACUCUACUCAGUAUCUUGUGAUAGACAAUAAUGGGACCAUAAUGGGAAAGAACAUACGUAUAUAUGUGUAACUCAGUAACUUUGCUGUACGGUAGAAAUGAACACAACGUUGUAAAUUGACUAUACUUCAACAAAAUUAAAAAACAAACAAACAGUGCUGAUGUUUAAAACAGAUGUCCCAGGUGGGGACAAGUGGCCAUGCUGAUCCACAGAGUUUUCAGGCCUGACCCCCACACUCCUCAUUUAUACAGUCCUUCCCAGACUGGUAGAAUUUCUUUUUGCAAAAUUAUCCCUGUCUAAUCCAUAGAGACGAAAGUGGAUUAGUGGUUGCCAGGGGCUGAGGGGGGAGGGGCAGGAGAUGGGGAGUGACUGCUAAUGGGUGUGGGAUUCUUUGGGGGGCGAUGACAGUGUUCUGGAAUUAGUGGCGAUGGCUGCUCGGCUCUUGAACGUGCUGAAAACGUGGCACUGUACAGUCUAAAAGGGUGCAUUGGGUGGUGUGGCAGUGACAUCUCAAUAAAGCUAUUUAAGAAGUACCCGUGCCGCUCGUUGCUGGCCCGACUCCAGCUUCUGGACCUCUGGUCUCCAGCUAUGGUGGCAGGCUCCCAGGAGGUGACUCUGCCAGUCCUGCCGGCUGUACUGGACUCUGUCGUCAGCCUUUGCUUCUGCCCAAACACUUGCAGAAGUUGUCACGUGCAGAGCGCUUGAGGACCAAGCUGGGGUCAGAAUUCUGAGCUGCACCUGAAGCAUAGAGGGCCUGGACUUGUGCUGCAGCGUGACACUGAUGUGUAAAGUCCCUGUAGGAGGAAAACCAGAGUGCGCCGUGGGAUCCAGGCAACGGGGUGGAAGGAGACAAGGGGCCUUUUCUUUCUGGACUCUUGGCAACGACCGGACCCUCUGAAAAGAUUCAUGGUUACCCGUCAUUAGGCCUCGGGUCCCCCAGCACCGGGGCUGGGGCAUGGACAGUGACAGCCCCGUCAGCAAGUUCCUGCUGGGGCGCCGCAGGUGCCUUGGGCAGCCCUACCGUGUUCGCUCUUCUUUCUCUUGCCAUCCCUUUAUUUUAAAUGUUUAAUGAAUUAAAAAAACUAGUAGUCUAGACAGGCUUAGAAACAGGAACUUCCUUCUCCUAGCCUCGACAUGGGAUGUCUCCAGGGGACACAUUGGUGUCUUGAGGACUGGCUUGCAGAGGGCCACCACUAGGCCCAGGGAGUGGCACUUGCGGGAUAGAAAAUGAAAGCAGGCAGAAUCUGGGUGUAAAAAGUGGGGUCUCCAGGACUACAGAGAUGUCGCCAAGACCACACUGCUUAUUGGCGUCCUCCCACAGCUCUGCUCUGCCUGGGCCCAUCCACCUCCUGCUGGCACCACACCCGCUGCAGAAAAAGGUGACCUUCUGAUGCCCUUGGGCCACACGCCACCUUCCUCCUGCCUCACUGGUCAAAGAAGGAGCCCUGGGCCAGACAGGGGUCUCCAGAAGAGUGAAGAGAGACCACAGCUGCGGAUCCACCGGCGGCACAGCCCAGCCACCGCCCAGGAGCAGCCCGUAGAUUCCAGAGAAAGCUCCUGGCUCUGUGCAGCACCUCCUGGACGCAGCCCCCGCCCCCAACCCCCACAAGGCCCAGUGGAUGGGAGCGACCAUUUGCUGUAGCCUCGGGCCGCGGCUCAGGGUUGUGCUGCAGCCGCACCGGGAGGAGUCCCUGUGCCAGGUCGGCGGGGCCUGCUCUCCUUCCCCGGGCAGGACCGGGAACCGGAACCGGAGGACGGCAGCCCCGCUCAGCAACACUUCUCUUUGUUUACCAGGCACGCCAGGCGGCGGGCCUGCUCUCUCUCCAGCCGCUCUCUCUGCCAGCUUCACGUCCAGCGAGGGACAAAGGGGCCUGCGGCGGAUUAGCUGCCCGGCGGGCAGGCCCGCGGUUCCCGCGGCGGCAGCUGCUCGCCGGCCUUGCCAAGGCGGCCGUCCUGUCCCGUCCCGUUCACUGAGGGCGGAGCGCGGCCCGGGCAGGACGCCUUCUGUGUUUAUCUGCAAGGCCGACCCCGUCCCCGCCCCGUCGGGCCGGCCGGGCCAGGCUGGGGGCCGCGGGGUCAGCGGCGGACAAUGGGCGGGCGCGCGCGCGUCCGCCCGACUCCGGGCCUUUGUUGCGGGAGCCUCGUGCCGAUGGGUUAAUGGGGCAGAAGCGAUCGGUGAAGGGCGACAGAAGUGGGCUUUGAAAGAGGGUGUCAGCGCAGGGCGGCGAGACAAAGGCCAAAACACACACGGGCGGAGAGGGACAGAUGGGGACGGGCGGCGGAGACAAUUAGGCGGCGGGCGCGGGGCGGGCGCGGCUCCAUCGUUCUGCGGUUAACCAGGCCCGGGCGCGCCGCCCCUUCGCCUCUGCGCCCGGGAGGGAGGGACGGGGGGCGGGGUAUCCCCUCCCCAUAAACAGCCGCAGAGCAGGUCCUGGGCAGCCCGCCGGCCACCCCUGUUUUCCUGCCUGACGGCCUGGGAACACAUCACGCAGCCAGCGCCCCCGGACCGGCUCGCAGGACCAGCUCGAGGACUGGUCGGUCCGCGGGAUGCUAGCCGGGCCCGCCAGGCGGCGCUGCUUCCCGCCCGGCCGCGGCC